RNAcentral lists this ribosomal RNA (695 nucleotides) under uncultured soil bacterium. RNAcentral describes it as "bacterial SSU rRNA". It matches the Rfam family "Bacterial small subunit ribosomal RNA", at positions 30 to 769 of the family's 1533-position model. The record is from RNAcentral.
CGAACGCUGGCGGCAGGCUUAACACAUGCAAGUCGAACGGGUGUCGCAAGACAUCAGUGGCAGACGGGUGAGUAACACGUGGGAACCUUCCUAGGGGUACGGAACAACUCAGGGAAACUUGAGCUAAUACCGUAUACGUCCGUAAGGAGAAAGAUUUAUCGCCCUUAGACGGGCCCGCGUCGGAUUAGCUAGUUGGUGGGGUAACGGCCUACCAAGGCGACGAUCCGUAGCUGAUCUGAGAGGAUGAUCAGCCACACUGGGACUGAGAUACGGCCCAGACUCCUACGGGAGGCAGCAGUGGGGAAUCUUGGACAAUGGGCGCAAGCCUGAUCCAGCCAUGCCGCGUGAGUGAAGAAGGCCUUAGGGUUGUAAAGCUCUUUUACCAGGGACGAUAAUGACGGUACCUGGAGAAUAAGCCCCGGCAAACUUCGUGCCAGCAGCCGCGGUAAUACGAAGGGGGCUAGCGUUGUUCGGAAUUACUGGGCGUAAAGCGCACGUAGGCGGGUCGUUAAGUCAGGGGUGAAAUCCCGGAGCUCAACUCCGGAACUGCCUUUGAUACUGGCGAUCUAGAGGUCGAGAGAGGUGAGUGGAAUUCCGAGUGUAGAGGUGAAAUUCGUAGAUAUUCGGAAGAACACCAGUGGCGAAGGCGGCUCACUGGCUCGAUACUGACGCUGAGGUGCGAAAGCGUGGGGAGC